Molecule: ribosomal RNA, 259 nt
Filed under: uncultured bacterium
Lineage: Bacteria
Description: partial 16S ribosomal RNA
Rfam family: Bacterial small subunit ribosomal RNA
Source: RNAcentral
UACGGGGGGGAGCAAGCGUUGUUCGGAUUUACUGGGCGUAAAGGGCGCGUAGGCGGUCGUGACAAGUCACUUGUGAAAUCUCCGGGCUUAACUCGGAAAGGUCAGCCGAUACUGCGGGGCUAGAGUGCAGAAGGGGGCAACUGGAAUUCUCGGUGUAGCGGUGAAAUGCGUAGAUAUCGAGAGGAACACCUGCGGCGAAGGCGGGUUGCUGGGCUGACACUGACGCUGAGGCGAGCGAAAGGCUAGGGGAGCGAACGGG